Molecule: ribosomal RNA, 1425 nt
Filed under: human gut metagenome
Description: bacterial LSU rRNA
Rfam family: Bacterial large subunit ribosomal RNA
Source: RNAcentral
GAAGCUUUGGCAAUCUCCUUUGGAGAUUGGGUAGGGGAGCGUUCGCUGCGGGCUGAAGGUGUGUCGGAAGGCAUGCUGGACUGCAGUGAAGUGAUUAUGCUGACAUGAGUAACGAUAAAAUAUGUGAAAAACAUAUUCGCCGAAAACCCGAGGUUUCCUGGGUAAAGGUAAUCUUCCCAGGGUUAGUCGGAUCCUAAGGUGAGGGUGAAAGCCGUAACCGAUGGAAAACAGGUUAAUAUUCCUGUACUUGUUGUGUAGCGCGAUGGAGGGACGCAGGAAGAUAGGCGGGCCGGGUGUUGGAUAUCCCGGUGCAAGCGUGUAGGAAUAUCCGGUAGGCAAAUCCGCCGGACGAAUCUGAGACGCGAGUCCGUGGGCGCAAGCCCUGAAGCCGUUGAGUCUAUGCUGCCUAGAAAAGCUCCUAAGUUUAUCCACAGCAAUCCGUACCGCAAACCAACUCAGGUGGGUGGGAUGAACAAUCCAAGGCGCUCGAGAGAACUCUGGCCAAGGAACUCGGCAAAAUGACCCCGUAACUUCGGAAGAAGGGGUGCUCUGUUAGCGUGCGAGGUUUAACAUUUCAAGCGCGAGAGAGCCGCAGUGAAUUGGUGGUGGCGACUGUUUACUAAAAACAUAGGUCUGUGCGAAGUCCUAAAGACGACGUAUACGGACUGACGCCUGCCCGGUGCUGGAAGGUUAAAAGGAGGGGUCAGCGCAAGCAAAGCUCCGAAUUGAAGCCCCAGUAAACGGCGGCCGUAACUAUAACGGUCCUAAGGUAGCGAAAUUCCUUGUCGGGUAAGUUCCGACCUGCACGAAUGGCGUAACGAUCUCCACACUGUCUCGGCCAGAGACUCGGUGAAAUUGCAGUCGCGGUGAAAAUUCCGUGUACCCGCAGAAAGACGGAAAGACCCUGUGCACCUUUACUAUAGCUUGACAUUGGAUUUUGGGCCUGCAUGUGUAGGAUAGGUGGGAGGCUGCGAACCCUGUACGCCAGUAUGGGGGGAGCCAUCCUUGAAAUACCACCCUUGCAUGUUUAAGAUCCUAACUUCUUCCGGUUAUCCCGGAGAAAGACAGUGUCUGGCGGGUAGUUUGACUGGGGCGGUCGCCUCCUAAAGUGUAACGGAGGCAUGCAAAGGUUCCCUCAGCCUGAUCGGAAACCAGGCGCUGAGUGCAAACGCAUAAGGGAGCUUGACUGUAAGAGAGACAUCUCGAACAGGAACGAAAGUUGGCGUUAGUGAUCCGGUGGUCCCGAAUGGAAGGGCCAUCGCUCAUUGGAUAAAAGGUACGCCGGGGAUAACAGGCUGAUCGCAUCCAAGAGUUCACAUCGACGAUGCGGUUUGGCACCUCGAUGUCGGCUCAUCACAUCCUGGGGCUGAAGCAGGUCCCAAGGGUACGGCUGUUCGCCGUUUAAAGCGGUACGCGAGCUGGGUU